Molecule: non-coding RNA, 3587 nt
Organism: Zonotrichia albicollis (white-throated sparrow)
Lineage: Eukaryota; Metazoa; Chordata; Aves; Passeriformes; Passerellidae
Source: RefSeq, a predicted model, not a curated record
GAGUCUUUUGGUGAGAGGAAUGAUAAUCCUUCUAGCAGCACUUCAUGAACGGAAAUCAUUCUCUAGGAUGAUGAUGACAUGCCAGUUCUUGGUAUAUGGACAUGAGUCCUGAGAUCCCACACAUGGAUACAUGAAAGGACUGCACACUGUGCUGAAGAUUGGGGAGAAGAUACCCUUGAGUGAAAGGUGGAACCUUUUUUUCCUAAUGGCUGCCUUGAGUGUUUCCUCCAUAGAUCUUUUUCCCUGUCUUGAAAACAUAUCCUUGGCGUGCUGGGCUGUAAAUCCUUGAAGGAAUAGCAUGGUCUAGGUGGAAGUUGGUCGGCUUUGUCCUUUUUCCAUGAGCCAAGACUGAAGAAUUACUGAAAUGUUGUAACUAUCAAUCGGCAACAAAGAAUUUGGUCUUGCUAGAAUCUGCUUGAGAAAUGGCACUGCUCCAUUUUCCCACUUCAUCAAACCUCCAAAGGCAUCCCAAACUCACCCAUGGCUUACCUCCAUGGUAAGGGGUGAACAGACUUAUGGAAGCUCCAAACUGCACAGGACCCCUGGGCAGAGCCCUCCUAUUCCUACAGGAGAUCUCCAGCCUCACUGUGGAGAGAAAGAGAGAGGCUGAGGGAAGCAUCUGGUGGAAAUGAAAUCUGAGCAAUGAAACACUGAGGAAGAUAUUGCAUUGAAUGGGAGGCCAGCAGGGUACCUGGUGCCCUUUUAGCACCCACCUGCAACACUCCACUCACUUCUAUGCUUUUCCUCAUGAAGAAUUUGCUGCACAAUGACCAAGGUGAGUCUAACAGCUUUCCAAAAUCCCAGAUCUGUUGGAGAUUUUAUCCAUUCCAUUCUUGGAAGUUGAGGAUCCCAAGCAUUUUCCAAAACUGAUUGAUGUCACCUCUCAUAAAUCCAGCACCUCCUGAGAUCAGGAUUCAGUCCCUGUGGUGCCCAGCUGCUCAUUUUUGCCCAGACAUUCUUCAGGUCUCCAUCAUUUGUCUCAAAUUCCAUGGGAAAGGGACUGGGGAAGGUAACUCCCAUGCUUCACAUAUGAGGCUUGGAUACCCAAAGACACAGUGAGUUUUCACCAAAUGUUCCUCAGAGAACAACUCAGUCUGAGAAAUCCUCCCACAAAUCCUGCACUUAUGCACGUGAUCAGCCCUGCCAAUCCACUGCAGACUGCAAACAGCCUCUGACAGGAUUCCAAACAGUUAAUGUCAAAUAGCUCAUUUUCUCUCAUCUCCAUACAAAUUCCUGUCAUGUUGCAUUACAUGUAAACAUCUGAGAAGCUUAAUGGCAUGCCUUUCAGUCAAAAAUUCAUAUGGCUUUUCAGUCUGAGCAGAUUAAUUGCAGUUUGUAACAAUAUGAAGUAAUUCAAUUUGAUUAGAGUUUCUAUUGUUCUUUGAGAUAAAAUAUUUUAUGUGAAUGUAAAGCCAAGUUUUCUGCUGGCACAACUUUAUUGACUUCUGUGGAAAUAUAAAAUACUCAUCUAAAAUCCAUAGUAUAUCAUUGUUGGUGUGCUGUUACAGUAAAUAAAUUUUAUAAGCUUCUGUAAAUUCUAUGUGCCAGAUCAGAUUCCAGGCCCCAUGGAAAUGUCAUUGUCAAUUAAGUGAGGCAGUAGGAAUAUUUGGCUUUGGAGGAGACAAUUCUGAAUGAGUCUUUUAGGAUUUUAUAAUUUUGAAGUGUUUUUCUAUUUCCAUUUUUUCAGCAUCCCUGUCUUCUUUUUGAUGUCUUGCUCUUAAAAUCUGCUUGUAAUUCUCUUUAGUUUCAUUUCUAUGUACUCUAGGGCUGUUUCUCUGUUCUUGCUAUGGACAUUGCUCUGGUGUUUUGUAGUCAUCCCACAGACCCAAGCCCAGAAGCCCUGCAACACAAGUUCUGCUUGCUGCCAAUAGGGAUAAUGUGAGGAACUUGCAUGAAACCUCUGCUUCCUACAACUGUCAGCUUAUGUCACCUUCUGAAAAUUAUGCAUGACUUCUGGGACUCAUCUAUCAAAAGGAGAGAGCCCACAACACUCUGAGAAGUUGGUACCUUCUCUCUAGUUAUCUGGGUUGAUGGUUGUUCAGUGAACCUAUUAACUGCCUGGGGUGACUUGCAUCUUUACAGGUAUGGGACUGUAUUGUCUUUCUUUGCUUUGCUUAAAUGGCAGAUGCUACCCCUGUGUAGUGUCCUGGUUUAACUUUAUCUCUGGCCUGGUGGUUCCAAGUGCAGCUGGCUAUGUUCUCAUUGGACAGUAGACCCUUCAUGUGCCUGCAGAAGUAAUGGCUGUAGGAAUGUUUUAUCUUCCCCUUAUCUCACAUUCUCUGAAAACUGUCUCAGUUCAAGGUUAAUGCCUUUCAGUGGAGCACUUAAAUACACACUUAGCUCUAAGCACUUAAUUCCUACAGUUUCAUGGCAUAGGGAUGGAUUUCAGUGCCUACUCAUAGUCCAUGGCUUGCCAGCACUUCAACAGUCUCUUUUUCAGUGGCCAGAUAAAAGUGAGGAGCCAGCCCUGGCAGUCCUGUGCCUGGGGGUAUGGUUUGCUUUCUGGUAGUGAUGGACAAUGCCAUUCAAGUCUUUCAUGAUAAUCCCACAUGGAGAUUGAUGGGGCUUGAGGUCCAGCUGCUAACUGACGAUUAAGGAAAGGUGCUCUCCAGAAACCUAGGUCAGACCUAUAGGGAAAUAGAAGAGGGAAAGAUUCCCCUACUUUCUCUAGUUGUGGCUACUGGUAGCACCAUGCUCUCUGCUAGACCAGGUCACCCCACAGCACAGUAGGUGUCAAGCCUUUAUGUUGUGGUCAUAAUAUAUCAAUCUGCCAGCACAUCUCUUCCAAAUCCUAUGCCACCAUCUCUCUCUAGUCACCCACACCCACUCUUCUCUGCUGUGUCUCCUCCCAGGACCAGGUCACCCUUAAAAGUAUGUUUAAGGACAGCUCAGAAAGGGAAAAGAGAGGGAAGGCAGGGAAGGCAUAAUUCAUCUUGUUUAUGAUGUGACUGAACUAACAAAGUCUGAGCACCUUGUCCACACUGGGAUAAGGUCAUAAGAAAUAACUGAUCACAAGGAUAAGAGAAAAAUAAAUACGCCAUAUUCAUCUGAAUAGUAGAAAUAAUCUUUGUGGGUGAUGCCAAAAUGUAAUGGGAUGUGUUGAAGUGUGGCCAGUGAUAGGUUCCAGAUUUUCACUCCGGUUACAACAGAGGGAAGUUCAGAAGCUGUACCUGUCCUGGGAGGAGGGGUUGUAAAGGGUUGUGAGGUAGUAUGUAAUAAUCAGUAUCAAACUGAGACUUUUCAGAGAGUUUUUAGCUGGAAUAUGGAAAUAUCUUUGGAAGCUUAAUAAUGAUUUAAUUUUAUUGGAAUUUGUAUGCGUUAACAUUUUUUAUUUUAUGGCAAUGCAGAAGGAGUUUGGCUUAAGACUAGCUGCCACUGGCUUCCCAAGAAUUAUAAAGCCAAGCCAAUAAAUGACCUUGAUCAGAUGGCACACCUCUCUCUUGUCCCUCUGUGGUCCUGUUGCAGUCAGUUACCAGCCCAAGCAGCUGCUGGGGCAAAGUGAACUGCCAUCUCCAAUUGGCAGAGCUGUGACCAGCUUUAUUUAUAAAGGCUUGUGAUAGAGCACAUUCUGCUCUCAUUUAUACCAG